UAAGCCCUACGGGGCGCAGCAGUGAGGAAUAUUGGUCAAUGGGCGGAAGCCUGAACCAGCCAAGUCGCGUGAGGGAUUAAGGCCCUAUGGGUCGUAAACCUCUUUUGUCAGGGAGCAAGGUCGUCCACGUGUGGGCGUAUGGAGAGUACCUGAAGAAAAAGCAUCGGCUAACUCCGUGCCAGCAGCCGCGGUAAUACGGAGGAUGCGAGCGUUAUCCGGAUUUAUUGGGUUUAAAGGGUGCGCAGGCGGCGAGUUAAGUCAGCGGUAAAAUUUCGGGGCUCAACCCCGACGAGCCGUUGAAACUG
RNAcentral lists this ribosomal RNA (305 nucleotides) under uncultured bacterium. RNAcentral's name for it is "bacterial SSU rRNA". It matches the Rfam family "Bacterial small subunit ribosomal RNA", at positions 333 to 635 of the family's 1533-position model. The record is from RNAcentral.